AGAGCUCCGGCUUCAGUUGCGAAUUCCCCAUCCCAAGAUCCAAGGGGACAGGAUGGCUUCUCAAUUUCUCCAUCACCAAGCUCUGGGUUCACCUUUCACUGGCAGGUAAGAAAACUAAAGCAUGAGAGGUAAAAUGACCUGCCAAAUGCCCCAUAGCAAGAAAAUGGUGAAGCUGGAAUUCCAACGAAGGGCUCCACAGGGCAGGCUGUGCUCUACCUUCCAUCUGCUCAUGCAGACAUCAAGACCAAGCCUUCCUCUUCCUCCUCCUCCUCAUCCUACUCAAUGUGAAGACGACCAGGAUGAAGACCUUUGUGAUGAUCCACCUCCACUUCGUGAA
RNAcentral lists this long non-coding RNA (337 nucleotides) under Callithrix jacchus (white-tufted-ear marmoset). Its description in RNAcentral is "lncRNA (ENSCJAG00000072756.1)". Lineage: Eukaryota; Metazoa; Chordata; Mammalia; Primates; Cebidae. The record is from RNAcentral.